CGAAUCGAUAAAGCUUGCUUCUGUUGAUUAGCGGCGGACUGGUGAGUAACACGUGGGCAACUGCCUGUAAGACUGGGAUAACACCGGGAAACCGGUGCUAAUACCGGAUAAUCCUUUUCCUCUGAUGAGGAAAAGCUGAAAGUCGGUUUCGGCUGACACUUACGGAUGGGCCCGCGGCGCAUUAGCUAGUUGGUGAGGUAACGGCUCACCAAGGCGACGAUGCGUAGCCGACCUGAGAGGGUGAUCGGCCACACUGGGACUGAGACACGGCCCAGACUCCUACGGGAGGCAGCAGUAGGGAAUCUUCCACAAUGGACGAAAGUCUGAUGGAGCAACGCCGCGUGAGCGAUGAAGGUCUUCGGGUCGUAAAGCUCUGUUGUUAGGGAAGAACAAGUACCGGAGUAACUGCCGGUGCCUUGACGGUACCUAACCAGAAAGCCACGGCUAACUACGUGCCAGCAGCCGCGGUAAUACGUAGGUGGCAAGCGUUGUCCGGAAUUAUUGGGCGUAAAGCGCGCGCAGGCGGUCCUUUAAGUCUGAUGUGAAAGCCCACGGCUCAACCGUGGAGGGUCAUUGGAAACUGGGGGACUUGAGUGCAGAAGAGGAAAGCGGAAUU
RNAcentral lists this ribosomal RNA (616 nucleotides) under uncultured Bacillus sp. RNAcentral describes it as "bacterial SSU rRNA". It matches the Rfam family "Bacterial small subunit ribosomal RNA", at positions 67 to 668 of the family's 1533-position model. The record is from RNAcentral. Lineage: Bacteria; Bacillati; Bacillota; Bacilli; Caryophanales; Bacillaceae.